GACGAACGCUGGCGGCGUGCUUAACACAUGCAAGUCGAACGGAAAGGCCCUGCUUUUGUGGGGUGCUCGAGUGGCGAACGGGUGAGUAACACGUGAGUAACCUGCCCUUGCCUUUGGGAUAACUUCAGGAAACUGGGGCUAAUACCGGAUAGGAGCUCCUGCUGCAUGGUGGGGGUUGGAAAGUUUCGGCGGUUGGGGAUGGACUCGCGGCUUAUCAGCUUGUUGGUGGGGUAGUGGCUUACCAAGGCUUUGACGGGUAGCCGGCCUGAGAGGGUGACCGGCCAGAUUGGGACUGAGAUACGGCCCAGACUCCUACGGGAGGCAGCAGUGGGGAAUAUUGCACAAUGGGCGGAAGCCUGAUGCAGCAACGCCGCGUGCGGGAUGACGGCCUUCGGGUUGUAAACCGCUUUCGCCUGUGACGAAGCGUGAGUGACGGUAAUGGGUAAAGAAGCACCGGCUAACUACGUG
RNAcentral lists this ribosomal RNA (468 nucleotides) under uncultured bacterium. RNAcentral's name for it is "partial 16S ribosomal RNA". It matches the Rfam family "Bacterial small subunit ribosomal RNA", at positions 28 to 507 of the family's 1533-position model. The record is from RNAcentral.